GACGAGGUGGCCGAGUGGUUAAGGCGUUGGACUGCUAAUCCAAUGUGCUCUGCACACUUGGGUUCGAAUCUCAUCCUCGUCG
This 82-nucleotide transfer RNA is filed under the name Nematostella vectensis (starlet sea anemone). It matches the Rfam family "tRNA". From Rfam's summary of the family: Transfer RNA (tRNA) molecules are approximately 80 nucleotides in length. Their secondary structure includes four short double-helical elements and three loops (D, anti-codon, and T loops). Lineage: Eukaryota; Metazoa; Cnidaria; Anthozoa; Actiniaria; Edwardsiidae. The record is from Rfam by way of RNAcentral.